AGAACGAACGCUGGCGGCAGGCUUAACACAUGCAAGUCGAGCGAGGACUUCGGUCCUAGCGGCGGACGGGUGAGUAACGCGUGGGAACGUGCCCUUUUCUUCGGAAUAGCCCUGGGAAACCGGGAGUAAUGCCGGAUACGCCCGAUCAUAGCGAUAUGGUUGGGGAAAGAUUUAUCGGGGAAGGAUCGGCCCGCGUUGGAUUAGGUAGUUGGUGGGGUAACGGCCUACCAAGCCGACGAUCCAUAGCUGGUUUGAGAGGAUGAUCAGCCACACUGGGACUGAGACACGACCCAGACUCCUACGGGAGGCAGCAGUGGGGAAUUUUGGACAAUGGGCGCAAGCCUGAUCCAGCCAUUCCGCGUGCAGGAUGAAGGCCUUCGGUUGUAACUGCUUUGUACGGUACGAAAAGACUCUUCUAAUUACAGAGAGUCCAUGACGGUACCGUAAGAAUAAGCACCGGCUAACUACGUCGCAGCAGCCGC
This 482-nucleotide ribosomal RNA is filed under the name uncultured bacterium. Its description in RNAcentral is "SSU rRNA". It matches the Rfam family "Bacterial small subunit ribosomal RNA", at positions 26 to 518 of the family's 1533-position model. The record is from RNAcentral.